GGGCGGUAAAAGCUGAUGGUUUCAGCAGUCGGUCUGUAAAACCGAGCCGUUAAGGGAGUUGUUCGAUUCAACUACCGCCCACCA
RNAcentral lists this transfer RNA (84 nucleotides) under compost metagenome. RNAcentral's name for it is "tRNA-Tyr". The record is from RNAcentral.